This 106-nucleotide non-coding RNA is filed under the name Jannaschia aquimarina. RNAcentral describes it as "TPP sequence". It matches the Rfam family "TPP riboswitch aptamer (THI element)". From Rfam's summary of the family: Vitamin B(1) in its active form thiamin pyrophosphate (TPP) is an essential coenzyme that is synthesised by coupling of pyrimidine and thiazole moieties in bacteria. The previously detected thiamin-regulatory element, thi box was extended, resulting in a new, highly conserved RNA secondary structure, the THI element, which is widely distributed in eubacteria and also occurs in some archaea. Analysis of operon structures identified a large number of new candidate thiamin-regulated genes, mostly transporters, in various prokaryotic organisms. The record is from Rfam by way of RNAcentral. Lineage: Bacteria; Pseudomonadati; Pseudomonadota; Alphaproteobacteria; Rhodobacterales; Roseobacteraceae.
GGUUCCACCUCGGGGUGCCUGCUCGUCAGGCUGAGAUGCGCGUCCGCGCGAACCCGUUGAACCUGAACCGGUUAAGACCGGCGGAGGGAAGGUGCACCCGCUCCUC